Long non-coding RNA from Lagopus leucura (white-tailed ptarmigan), 408 nucleotides. RefSeq lists it as uncharacterized. Lineage: Eukaryota; Metazoa; Chordata; Aves; Galliformes; Phasianidae. The record is from RefSeq and is a predicted model, not a curated record. The transcript is spliced from 3 exons.
AGCCAGAGAGGCUGAAGCUUCUUGCUUCUCUGUGUGGGUUGAGGAUGAAAGAGACGAAUGAGAAGUAAGUAAAAGACCUUGAUGUAUUGCUUUUCUUUUGGGCUGUGAUUUAUUCAAAAGGAAGCUUCAUCCUACAAAGAGCAAACAGCUGUUUGGGUGAUGAAACUGCUAUAUGUAUACAGAGUGUUUUGAUAGCCAGUCUCUUGAUUCUAGAGCACUUUCCAAAUGAAGAGUGGGAGUGGGCCACUGCCCUAAUUGUGGCACGUGUGAGCAGGCUGUGAGAUUGCCCUCCCCAGACACUGCUUCCAAAGGCUUGGAAAUGAGCAGCACUUGCAGUCACAGUGAUGUGGAUCUUGGUAUCAGACUGAGGAUUAUUCUCAUGUAUUUUUCAAACCUCAAACAUGCUCU